Molecule: ribosomal RNA, 649 nt
Filed under: uncultured bacterium
Lineage: Bacteria
Description: bacterial SSU rRNA
Rfam family: Bacterial small subunit ribosomal RNA
Source: RNAcentral
CAGGCCUAACACAUGCAAGUCGAGCGGAAACGAUGGGAGCUUGCUCCCAGGCGUCGAGCGGCGGACGGGUGAGUAACGCGUAGGAAUCUGCCCAGUAGAGGGGGAUAGCCCGGGGAAACCCGGAUUAAUACCGCAUACGCCCUACGGGGGAAAGGCCGGGAUCUUCGGACCGGUCACUAUUGGAGGAGCCUGCGUGAGAUUAGCUUGUUGGUGGGGUAAUGGCCUACCAAGGCGACGAUCUCAAGCUGGUCUGAGAGGACGAUCAGCCACACCGGAACUGAGACACGGUCCGGACUCCUACGGGAGGCAGCAGUGGGGAAUAUUGGACAAUGGGGGCAACCCUGAUCCAGCCAUGCCGCGUGUGUGAAGAAGGCCUUCGGGUUGUAAAGCACUUUAAGCAGUGAGGAAGGCUUUGAGGUUAAUAGCCUCAAGGAUUGACGUUAACUGCAGAAUAAGCACCGGCUAACUCCGUGCCAGCAGCCGCGGUAAUACGGAGGGUGCAAGCGUUAAUCGGAAUUACUGGGCGUAAAGCGCGCGUAGGUGGUUUGUUAAGUCAGAUGUGAAAGCCCAGGGCUCAACCUUGGAACUGCAUCUGAUACUGGCAGGCUAGAGUAUGGUAGAGGGAGGUAGAAUUCCACGUGUAGCGGUG